AGUGAACGCUGGCGGUAGGCCUAACACAUGCAAGUCGAACGGCAGCACAUUAAGCGCUUGCUCUUACGAUUGGCGACUGACGGAUGGGUGAUACAUACAUCGGCUUCUCCUUUUUCUUGGGUGAUAACGUAGGGCAACUUCCGCUACUACCUCAUACGUCCUACUGGUUAAUGCAGGGUGUCUUCGGACUUUCCGCGUUUGAAUGAGCCGAUGUCGGAUUAGCUAGUUGGCGGGGUAAUGGCCCACCAAGGCGACGAACCGUAGCUGGUCUGAGAGGAUGAUCAGCCAGCCUGGAACUGAGACACGGUCCAGACGCCUACGGGAGGCAGCAGUGGGGAAAAUUGGACAAGGGGCGCAAGACUGAUCAAGACAUACCGCGUGGGGGAGGAAGGCCUUCGGGUUGUAAAGCCCUUUUGUUGGGAAAGAAAAGCAGUAGGGUAAGAACCCGGUGUGCUGACGGUACCCAACGAAUAAGCACCGGCUAACUUAGUG
Molecule: ribosomal RNA, 492 nt
Filed under: uncultured bacterium
Lineage: Bacteria
Description: partial 16S ribosomal RNA
Rfam family: Bacterial small subunit ribosomal RNA
Source: RNAcentral